CUUUUCCGUGCAAACCGGGUCCAAAUGGCUUUUUGGGUCUUAAAUGUUGCUGACCCCUGGUUUAGAUGAUUGUCUUUAAAACCCUCACUGAAGAGUCUUGCUGGAGACAGCCACACAUUUACCUCACUGCAGCAGGGGUGAAGAAGUGGGUGCAAGUCCAUUUAGGUCAGAAUUCAUAUGAUUACAACCAAUACAUAUUAGAAUAAAAUAAAUAAAUGUGCAAUGAACAUGUCAGGAGUGCUGUUAAAAAGUCUCAUGGCAGUGGGGUUAAAGGACCUCUUGAACCUCUGAUUCCUGCAGUGCAGUGAGGUGAGCCUCUGAAGCUCCUACUGUCCUGUGAGGAUGCUCAGGUGAACAUCAACACCAGCCCCUUGGUGUUGUUGUUCAGGAGAAGACGGUUCUUAUUACUCCAGCCAGUUAAAUAAAUUUAUCAUAAUACACUACAUUUUAACAUAAUGACCUUAUAUUUAUUUAUGACUUUUAACCAUUACUUCAAAUUCAAAUAAUCCUGUUUGAAAUAUUGAUUCAACUUAUAGAAUUAAAUUUCUGCUAGUUGUUUUCUGUUGCAAAGAAAUCUAGUAUAAUAAUAUUUAAAUUUACAUAUAUAUCUUUCACGUUUUCAAUGCCAAUUUUGUGUAAUAACGGAGUUUCCCACUACCCGUGAAUGCCUCUUUUUUUACGUCGCCGGCUCACUCCUCCAUCUCCGCCCACUCUCUGCUGAUCCCUGCCGGCCCGAGUGAAAGAGAUCUUUGGUUUUGCCUUUGCUGACUGCUGAUCUGAUCGUCUCAAGUCUGGUGACCUGCUGCAGAAGAUCCUCUCUCUCUAUCAUUAUAAGCAAUUCUGUCUAUCCUAUCACUCUCCCGACUCUAUCUAAUUUGACAGCCAUUCUAUCUUGUAUCCCUACUGCUCUAUCUAAUUUGACAGCCAUUCUA
Long non-coding RNA from Oreochromis niloticus (Nile tilapia), 932 nucleotides. RefSeq lists it as uncharacterized. The record is from RefSeq and is a predicted model, not a curated record. The transcript has 5 exons. Lineage: Eukaryota; Metazoa; Chordata; Actinopteri; Cichliformes; Cichlidae.